RNAcentral lists this ribosomal RNA (397 nucleotides) under Salinibacterium sp. C1W-14A. RNAcentral describes it as "bacterial SSU rRNA". It matches the Rfam family "Bacterial small subunit ribosomal RNA", at positions 54 to 450 of the family's 1533-position model. The record is from RNAcentral. Lineage: Bacteria; Bacillati; Actinomycetota; Actinomycetes; Micrococcales; Microbacteriaceae.
CAUGCAGUCGAACGAUGAAGCCGGAGCUUGCUCUGGUGGAUUAGUGGCGAACGGGUGAGUAACACGUGAGUAACCUGCCCUUGACUCUGGAAUAAGCGUUGGAAACGACGUCUAAUACCGGAUACGAGCUUCAGCCGCAUGGCUAGGAGCUGGAAAGAAUUUCGGUCAAGGAUGGACUCGCGGCCUAUCAGGUAGUUGGUGAGGUAAUGGCUCACCAAGCCUACGACGGGUAGCCGGCCUGAGAGGGUGACCGGCCACACUGGAACUGAGACACGGUCCAGACUCCUACGGGAGGCAGCAGUGGGGAAUAUUGCACAAUGGGCGCAAGCCUGAUGCAGCAACGCCGCGUGAGGGACGACGGCCUUCGGGUUGUAAACCUCUUUUAGUAGGGAAGAAG